GCCAGACUCCCCUCACCCAUGUCGCACGCGAGAGUUGAUUCUCUGGUCGGUGUGCCCAUGAUGCACCGUGGGCAGCGCGGAGGAGGGAGGUCUGCCGACGUUGAAUCGUGUUUGCGCCCUCAUCGAAGCCGCAUAGUCAGGUCCGGGAUCAUCACUCAGUCCCCAGGAAAUUCUUCGUGGCGUCUCCGGGCGCGGGAGGCCAGGACCAGGAUUCAAUGGGGAUUUCUUGCCGCUGCAACUUAGCCACGGCGAAGCCGCAUCUCAUCAUGGACUCACGCUUGGACCAACGACGAAGCCUGGCUGGAAUUGCUAAUGAUGCCUCAGGAAUUGCUUGAUGCAGAUCCACCUCUGGCCGUGGACGGACCUCUGCACCUCAUCAACCCCGGUAAGAAUAUCCCUCAAACGUUCACGACCCUCUCUUACGCCCGUAGAAACUCUCGUCUAAUCUUUUGGGUCUCGGAUCGCCAGUACUUCCAUGUCUGGUGAGGGCGCCGCCGCCCUGGCUAACCACACCGCCGUGGUCGUGGCUUGGGUAAGAAGAAGAUGAUGAUCGGCCGUUGGAUCGUUCACCAGCGGUAGGAAUUAGAAAGUCGCGUACCCUUUCGUGGGGAUUGAUCUAGGCCAUAGGAUUAGAGAUGGAUGGCGUAUAAUGGUUUUAAGUCGUGGCUGCCUCUCGGCCGUCGAUCUCUGGAUCGACGAUCCUGGUCAAAUACCGGUUCAUAAAGCACUUGGUUUAAUCUCGCGCGUCCAAAUUUGAUCGUGUGGCUCUAAUAAACUGGAAAACAAUUCAGUACAUCCCAGAUACAAACGCACGCUUUUGCAGCCCCUCACAUCCACCACCAAGAGGCCCACAAAAAUAGAUUAAAACUAGUCGGUUGCCCAUGCGUUGCGACGGCUUACAACAAUACCUACGUAAACUAUCCAUCAAAAAAAAUUCAAGAUUUUUUAUUGAUUGUCUCCGCUCUCUAUAUAAUAUAUUUUUUGAUUUGGCUAACUGAUGUUAUUGUUUACUCCAUGCAAAUAUGUCUUGGUACAACACGGCCAAUGAAGUGAGCGAUUAGAAGAGAGUGCACAACGAUUGACUGAAUAAACAGAGAUUAUAAAAUGACAUAAUUCCAUCAUACAGAGACCAAAUAAGAGAAAGUUUGUGAGAUCAAGUUUCUAAAAUAAGUCCCAUGAAGUUAAACUUAUAAAAAAGAUAGAUCAAAAUAUUGAGUGAUUGCUAAAGUCAGACAUCAAAAAAACUGGAUGCGCUACAUAUAAAUUAUGCUACUUCGUAGCAAUUACUAACGUUUAAAACCAACAAAUAACUUUUUAUUUUGCUGUUAGUGUGACAAAUCAUUGCUGCUCUAUCCAAUUCAGCAAUCUCAAACACCAUGUAGUCUAUUGCGCCAAUGUGGUCUCAUAAACGACAUAAUGCUUGCAAGAGCCAAGAACGUCGUGCCGUGCUUGGGCUGUAGCCUCGACCCGUAGUGCUGGCCGGGGCCGACACGAUUAUUUUUUAUUUUACAAAAAAAACGUAUAUACCUAUAUACAAUUUAUAUUCAAUAUUAAAAACAUCUUAGCGUGAUGUUCUACUGGUUAGACAGCAUGGGUUCGGACCUCACCUCCUGCACCGUUUUUUAACAUUUUACGCUGAUUUAAUUAAAUGGAUCUACGGGCUAACGGGCUGGCCCGACACAGUUAGCUGGCCGGCAUGACAUGUCUGUGCCAUAGUUGUGGCCCGCGUGCAUCUAGCCCGUGUCGGGCGUCGUUACGCUGAUUUAAUUAAAUGGAUCGACGGGCUAACGGGCUGGCCCGACACAGUUAGCAGGCCGGCAUGACGUGCCUGUGACAUAGUUGUGACCCGCGUGCAUUUAGCCCGUGUCGGGCGUCGUUUGACAUCUAUAGACGUGCAACGGAUUAAUUUGAAAUAGCUGUGAGGGGUUAUUUGUAAAAAAAUGACGCAUGACGACCGUUGAAACUGGUGCUUUAAGUAUAGUAUAGAUUUGCAACUUAACCCUUUAGUAAUUUGUUCUUCUUCUAUUUAUAUGGAACACAAGGUGGUGGACGUGAGGAGCUCCAAAAGAGUUCUUUUGCAUCCAGGAUGCAAAGAUUUUUUUUCCGAUAAACUCAUACCCCUUCAUCCAAGUCAUUUUGCAUAAAGAGCCCCUCAACUUUUGUCUAUUUAACCUGUUGUCCAUCAUAGUUCAAGAAACAUUACAAAUGAGUACGAGUUUUAUUGAUUUAGACUCUAGGUUCCUUAUAAGCUUAACCCGACAUCCCUAUAUACAUUAAAAUAGGUAAAUUGAUUUGGAAAAUAUAGAAAACCCUCAAAAUUGGUUUUUAGUAGGAAAAUAAAUGUGAAAGCUUGCAAAAGCCAUAUCUUAUUCAUUUUAACUCCGAUUUAAUCCGUUCAGGUUGCCUUAGCUUCGUAUAAAUAUUUAUCACGCAGUAAUAACACUAUUUGUGUCAUAUCACAUACUUUUAUAAUUAGGUAUUUGUUUAACCUAUGGAUUAACCUUUCUAGAUCAAAGUUAAUCUGUCUAUAAUUGUAACCUGACUAAAAUAUGAUCACUAAUUAAGGUAUAACUUGGAUUAGAGAUGAACUAAGAUGUUUAUUUAGAAUAUAUUUCUCACAUGCUUUAUGUUAAUCCACAUAGAACAUAAUUUUCACAUUUAAUCACAUAGAUCUUCCAAAAACUAUAUCUUUUCAGUCGUAACUCUGAUUUUAGUGGUUCUCGAACCUACGAUCUCGUAGCAGCGUGUAGAAUAUUCUUACAUAGUUUGUUCUUAUGCUUUGUGUAAUGUUAAUAUAUCCAUUAUUUACUUGAUUGUAUGGAGCCCAACUUUUAGGGCAGCAUCUCGACAACAGGUUAUCGCAGGUAUAAGGCAAGUUGUGCCCUUGAUCACUCUUCUUUAACUAAUAAUAUUCUCCAUAUUCACCGUGACAUGCUCAGGUUAACUUGAUGGGACCUAAUAUGUUGCCCUAGUUUUCUUCACCACACACCUUGCAUACAAAUGAACUAUUGGGUAGUUUGGCUAUGCUCUACCUAGUUUUGGGAAAUAAUAAUAUAUGACAUAUGAUCAUGUUUUAUCAUUGUUAAUGAAUUAUUUAUUGUUUAUGAUAAGAUUAUGGUGUUAAUUGGAACACGGAACUUAACUUGAGAUAAUAGUGCUACCACAAAUGUGGAAUGGGACGCCCUUGAAUGAUUAAUUAGGAAAGCUAGUAUGAAUUAAUCCUUUUCCGAAAGGGGCAAGUGGGGUGGAGUGCAGGUAUAGGGAGGUCCUCGGGUCGGACUGUCUGUAAAGAUUUUCGGAUGAGGGGUUCCUAUAUCGCCUACGGCCCAGAGUCCGUAGUGGGUUCUCUCAUCUAAUGAAACUUUGUAAAAGUCUCGCAGUGCAUCCCUAGAAUUUCACCAUGGGAGUAGGGCUGGAAAAGAGCCGAGCCAGGCUCGGCUCGGCUCGAUGUGGCUCGGAGGUGAAAAGGCUCAAGCCUGGCUCGGCUCGCCGGUACACCGAGCUACCAAAAUAGGCUCGGCUCGGCUCGGCUCGGGUAUGGCUCGCGAGCCGGCUCGAGCUGGCUCGCGAGCUUGUCCGCCCAUCACACACACCAGCUGACAGGAAUGAAUAGAAAUACAAAACAAGUAUACAAAAUCAGCAUGACUGGUGACUACAUUAUAAAAGGAAAUUCCUUUGAUAAAAAUACAAGCAGCCAAGCAAUAUAAAAAAACCAAAAACAAGUUUGAGGGUUUGACAGCAUAAGUUUCAUAGCAUAAGUUUGAGUGUUUGACAGCAAAUGACAUGACAUUCAAGUAUUCAACGACAACAAGCAUAUGCUAUCAACCAGCACUCCAGCAACAUAUAUCAACCAAAAGUCAAAAGCACUCAUCAACUUGCAUAUUUCAAAAGGCCAAAAGCAUCCAACAGCUUCAACUUUACUGCUUGUAUAGUUGUAUCCACCAAAACUCCAAAAGCAUCUAGCAACCAACACUUUCAUUAUCAUUACACACCUGAACAAGUAAACAAAUAUACAUAAGCAUCUUACAAGCCAUAAUGGUACAAGUACAAAUAUACACAAGUACUAUUACUAGUUGCUUUGCACAAAGCUUUUUGGAAAUGAGAUAGUCUCCAUGUCGUCCUCAUCAUCAUGUACCUGUUGAAAAAAUACAAAUUUCACUCAAAAUCUGAAAAGAACAUAAGAAAUGCACUCUAAUAAAUAAUAAAAGAGCAACUAACCACAUAUGUCAUGCUUCCAUCAUGCGACCCUUGAAUCCAGCUAGAGGAGCAUACCAAAGCCUCCACCAUAGAAGGGCUGAGAGAACUCCGAUAAUCAUCUAAAGUUCUACCCCCUGUGCUAAAAGUAGACUCUGAAGGGACAGAUGUUGCUGGUACAGUUAAGAAUUUCUUUGCCAUCCUUGAGACAACCGGAAACCUAUGUGAAUUAACCUUCCACCAGCUCAACAAAUCAAACUCCUUGUCUGCUAGAUUGACAUUCAUCUCAUCUAAAUAGAUAAGCAACUCACUCUUUGAUGGGUUUGCUUCAGUGGAUGAUAAAAAUGACUGAAAUUCACAUGAUGCAGAAGGCAAGCUUAAAAUUCUAUCAUUAGCCAAAGAUGAUCUAGCACUAUUUUUGUUUUGAGUAGCUUUUCUCUCUCUAUGUUGCAGCUCACAGUCCUCAAACAAUUUUUCUAACUCACCUGAACUUCAUCUAUCUCAAAUCUAACUUGGUCACCAUCAAAGAUUUUACCAAAGCACCACUCGAUAUACCUCAUCUUAUACCUAGGAUCUAGAAUCGUAACAAUCACCAUAACAUUAUUUUUUUUCUUCCCAAUACUUAUUGAACUUCUCCAUCAUCGCAGUACCCAUUUUUCUCAAAUGCAAACUACUAGAACUCAUUGCUACCCUCAAUGCAAUCUUGACAUCCACAAUGUGAGGAUAAAAAAGAUUUGCAGUAGGAUAUGUAGAAGCUGACAAUGAAGUGGUUACUUUAGCUAAUGAGGCAAGAAUAGGCUCAAUUGCAACAAAUAAAUCCCAUUCCUCGUUUGUAGGUUCCCAUUUAUAAUUCAAAUCAGUAUCGACAUAAGUUUGAAUUGCUUCUUUGUAAGCUAUACUAGUACGCAGCAUCUUGUAUGUUGAACUCCAUCUAGUUGACACAUCAAGACUCAAGCCCUCUCCAAUUUGCAAUGCAAGAGAUCUACAAAUCUCUACAAACUUAUGCAUAUGAGAUGGGGAUUUCUUAAUGUAUUUCACAGUUGACCUUAGGUUGUCUAUCAAAGAAGCCAAAGCAGUAGUUCCAUCAUUGACAACCAAAUUAAUAAUGUGUGCACAACAACGCACAUGAAAAUAUUUUGAACUGAAUGUAUUACCUUGUCUAGCUGCAAAUCUAGCCCUCAAACCACGGAUAGCACCAUCAUUGUUUGCAGCAUUAUCUGAAGUGAUAGAAAUAAUCUUAUCCUCUAUUUUCCAUGUUGUAACACACUCAUAGGCUGCUUGCCUAUCACAGGUCCUUUGUGUGGAGGAUCUAAUUCAAAGAAAUUCAGCACACAACAUUGCAUUUUCCAAUCACUAUCUAUGUAGUGUGCAACCAAACACAUAUAGGACAAUGUUUGAUUAGAAGUCCAUAGAUCAGUAGUCAAUGAAAUAUAAUCCACUCCUUUAAGGGCCUUUGAUAGUUUUUCUUUUUCAGACUCAUACACUUUCAAGCAUUCUGCUCUAAUGGUUUUCCUACCAAUGAACUCAUAUUGUGGAUUCAAAUACUUCAUGACAAUGUUAAAUCAUGUAUGCUCAACCAUUCUAAAUGGGUACUCAUGAACUAUAAUCAUCUUGGCAAUUAAUUUUCUAACUUGCUCAUGAUUAUAAUCUCUAGGGGAUGUGAUAGUAGGGAGACCAGAACCUGAUUCACCUGCAUUUGAAGGAGCAAAGUUGAGAAGAGAUUGAUCUAGUUUCUUUUCCAAAUGCUUUGAAUAUGCCCCACAACUCUUCAUAUGCCUCGAUAAUGUUGAUGUCGUUGACCCUUGCAUGUAGGCAUACCUUUUCUUACAAUACUUGCACUUUGCCUUUAAUGUCUUCUUUCCAUCUUCGGAUGCAUCUCCAACAGUCACUUUAUCAAAAACUUCCCACACUUUGGAUUUAGAGUUGUUAUCCUUUACUUUCACCCCCCUUACGCCUUUUCUUGGCUUUUCUUUUGUCAUCAUUAUUUGAUUCCACAACAUCAAUCUCUCUCCAACCUAGGACAGUCAUUUCAUCCUCAGACAUGUCAUCGUUCUUGUCAAAUGAAUUGCUUUCUGAAUCUAUCUCAUUACUUUGAUUCACCCCCUUCCCUUGCACACUAGAUUCCAUAACCUAGCAAUUUAUGAUCAACAAUACAUAAUGUGUUAACUGCAACUGCAAGUCUGCAAGAUAAAACUGAACAAACUGCAAAACAAAACUGAACAAACUGCUGUCGAGCGGUGGAUGAGGAAUUGACGAUGCUCACCGGUGGUCUAUGAAUGAGGAACCGGUCGUGCAGGCGAGCGGUGGAUGAGCAGCCAAGCGGUCAGUGUCGGCAUCUCGUUGACGGACAAGGACCGGAUCACCGGAGAUGGCGGAUUGGGGCACUGGGUGACUCGCAGCGGCCACCGGCCAGGCAGAGGGAGGCGGGUGGCGGGUGGCGGUAGGCGGCGUGCCGGCAUGGGCGCGUGCGCGUCCGCGCGUGGCGGGGCGCCGUCUACGGAACGCCGGCCCGCACAGCGGCACGACCGCACGAGUCACAGGAGGUCAGCAGCGGCAGCGAGCCAGCGGCAGUCGUGGUCGCGCCAGGCAUCGUCAGCCGUCACUCCGUCAGCCGUCACCGUCAGCGGUCGCGGUCGCGCCAGCCGCCGAGCACGAGCACCGCUGAGCACGAGUGCCGCCGUCACUCUGUCACAGGAGCACCGCCGAGGCGCCACCGCCGAGCACGAGCUGUUAGGGUUAGGGACUUGGGUUAGGUGAUUUGGGGUGGCUUGCCGGCUUGAGCUUUAGGCGCUUGCUUUGCUUGUGGGCCUAUUGGGCUGCUCCGCUGCUGCCUGCUAGUACUUACGCGCGUGGCGCGCUAGGCUUGGCUCGCGAGCCGGCUCGCGAGAUUGUGCGAGCUAGCUCGGCUUGGCUCGGGAUUUUUUCGAGCUUGCUAAACCGGCUCGGCUCGGCUCGGCUCGCCGGCAGCUCGCGAGCCGGCUCGAGCCUGCCCGAGCCGCAACGAGCUCGAUCCGGCUCGCCGAGCCCGAGCUUUUUUCUCAGCCCUACAUGGGAGUGUCUAGGGAUCUUGCAAACCCUAGCUAAAUGGGAAACACGUCUUGUGGGUAAAGAUGUGCGACCUCUACAAAGUGUAAAACAGGUAUAUCAGUCGUGCUCACGGUCAAGAGCGACUCAGGACUCUCACAUGAUUAAUUUAUGGAAUUAAAUUUAAUCUGUCAUUUGCAUUGUAUUGUGGGAUUUAUUAUUAAUGGUGAUUUCUUAUUUAAUUGUGAUGGUAUUUACUUAUACUUAGUAACUGCUAAUAAAAAAAUUACCAACUUGUUAAAAGCAACGCUCAGCCUUAACCAUUCUCUUUGGUAAGCCUUACACUUCACAUGAGCCCCCACCAUAAGUGAGCUCAUGCACAUUAUUCUCCACAACUUGUUGAGCGAUGAACGUAUGUGAGCUCACUCUUGUUGUACUCACACCCUGGUCAAGAACAGGUACCAUAAGAUGAGGAGCAUGAAGGAUGUCACGAUGAGUUCGUGAGAGGUCUAGACUGUCAUCUCCCAGUCAACUAUGGUUGCAGAGGAUCAUUGUCGUCAUAUGAUGUAUUUAUUUAGCUAUUUUGUAUAGAACCCCUAUUAUAUAAUAAAGAUGUGACAUU
RNAcentral lists this long non-coding RNA (7840 nucleotides) under Zea mays. RNAcentral's name for it is "long non-coding RNA (ZMAY_LNC001766)". Lineage: Eukaryota; Viridiplantae; Streptophyta; Magnoliopsida; Poales; Poaceae. The record is from RNAcentral.